AUCUGUAUUCUUGAGCUUGUGG
RNAcentral lists this microRNA (22 nucleotides) under Gyrodactylus salaris (gyrodactylosis fluke). RNAcentral's name for it is "gsa-miR-993-5p". Its record names the gene gsa-miR-993-5p. Lineage: Eukaryota; Metazoa; Platyhelminthes; Monogenea; Gyrodactylidea; Gyrodactylidae. The record is from miRBase by way of RNAcentral.